RNAcentral lists this ribosomal RNA (465 nucleotides) under Vreelandella stevensii. RNAcentral describes it as "partial 16S ribosomal RNA". It matches the Rfam family "Bacterial small subunit ribosomal RNA", at positions 338 to 794 of the family's 1533-position model. Lineage: Bacteria; Pseudomonadati; Pseudomonadota; Gammaproteobacteria; Oceanospirillales; Halomonadaceae. The record is from RNAcentral.
CCUACGGGAGGCUGCAGUGGGGAAUAUUGGACAAUGGGCGAAAGCCUGAUCCAGCCAUGCCGCGUGUGUGAAGAAGGCCUUCGGGUUGUAAAGCACUUUCAGUGGGGAAGAAAGCCUUGGGGCUAAUACCCUCGAGGAAGGACAUCACCCACAGAAGAAGCACCGGCAUAACUCCGUGCCAGCAGCCGCGGUAAUACGGAGGGUGCGAGCGUUAAUCGGAAUUACUGGGCGUAAAGCGCGCGUAGGCGGUCUGAUAAGCCGGUUGUGAAAGCCCCGGGCUCAACCUGGGAACGGCAUCCGGAACUGUCAGGCUAGAGUGCAGGAGAGGAAGGUAGAAUUCCCGGUGUAGCGGUGAAAUGCGUAGAGAUCGGGAGGAAUACCAGUGGCGAAGGCGGCCUUCUGGACUGACACUGACGCUGAGGUGCGAAAGCGUGGGUAGCAAACAGGAUUAGAUACCCCAGUAGU